This 450-nucleotide ribosomal RNA is filed under the name uncultured Thiobacillus sp. RNAcentral's name for it is "bacterial SSU rRNA". It matches the Rfam family "Bacterial small subunit ribosomal RNA", at positions 925 to 1382 of the family's 1533-position model. Lineage: Bacteria; Pseudomonadati; Pseudomonadota; Betaproteobacteria; Nitrosomonadales; Thiobacillaceae. The record is from RNAcentral.
ACAAGCGGUGGAUGAUGUGGAUUAAUUCGAUGCAACGCGAAAACCUUACCUACCUUGACAUGUCCGGAAUCCUGCAGAGAUGCGGGAGUGGCCCGAAAGGGAAUCGGAACACAGGUGCUGCAUGGCUGUCGUCAGCUCGUGUCGUGAGAUGUUGGGUUAAGUCCCGCAACGAGCGCAACCCUUAUCAUUAGUUGCUACGCAAGGGCACUCUAAUGAGACUGCCGGUGACAACCGGAGGAAGUGGGGAUGACGUCAAGUCCUCAUGGCCCUUAUGGGUAGGGCUUCACACGUCAUACAAUGGUCGGUACAGAGGGUUGCCAAGCCGCGAGGUGGAGCCAAUCCCAGAAAGCCGAUCGUAGUCCGGAUUGUUCUCUGCAACUCGAGAGCAUGAAGUCGGAAUCGCUAGUAAUCGCGGAUCAGCAUGUCGCGGUGAAUACGUUCCCGGGUCUU